Molecule: non-coding RNA, 348 nt
Organism: Streptococcus urinalis 2285-97
Lineage: Bacteria; Bacillati; Bacillota; Bacilli; Lactobacillales; Streptococcaceae
Source: Rfam
GGGGUCGUUACGGAUUCGACAGGCAUUAUGAGGUAUAUUCUGCGACUCAUCGGCAGAUGUAAAAUGCCAGUUAAAUAUAACUGCAAAAAAUACAAAUUCUUACGCUCUAGCUGCCUAAAAAACAGCUGACGUGACUUUCUUAAGAUUGCUUGUGUCUUAACGAAAGUCUUAAAAUAGCAAGCUACGAUUAAUUAGUUUCUAGAUAAUUAAUAAGAGAUUUAUAGAAUCGCAUGAUAUUGAUUUGAGUUAUGUAUCGAUAGCCAUGUUAAAUAAAGACAUAACCUAUAGUUGUAGACGAAUAUAUUAGCAGAUGUUUGGACGUGGGUUCGACUCCCACCGGCUCCAUAA